UACUUAAACAAAUUUAAAAAGUUAAGCUUUUAAAUAAAUAUUAAAAAUAUUAUUCCCUUGUAGUGUAGUUUAAUAGCUAUCUACAUAAUAAUUAAACACUAAGUAUGAUAGAUUAUAAUUUAUAAUAUGACGCAUGCAGUUUUGUUACUAGUUGAUAAUGUUAGUAUUAGUAAUAUUAAUAUGUGUGGUAAAGGAACUCGGCAAAUAACCGCUCAACUGUUUAUCAAAAACAUAGCUAUAUGGAUUAAUAUAUAGUUAUUUCUGCUCAAUGACUUAAAUAGCCGCAGUACUCUGACUGUGCAAAGGUAGCAUAAUCAGUUGGCUUUUAAUUAGAGUCUGGUAUGAACGAAAAUAUGGGUAGUAACUGUCUUACCACAUUUAUUUGAACUUAUUUAACAAGUGCAAAUGCUUGUGAUUGAAACAAUAGACGAGAAGACCCUAGAAACUUGAACAGGUUUUUGUUGGGGCGACAGAAUUACAUUCAACUAAUCUUAUAAUACAUGACGCAAUGUUGAAAGAAUAAGUUACUCUAGGGAUAACAGCAUAAUUUCAUUAGUUUGUGACCUCGAUGUUGGACUAGGUACUAUAUCCUUAAGGCAAGGGUAUAUUAUGCUCUGUUCGAGCAACAAUA
RNAcentral lists this ribosomal RNA (631 nucleotides) under Helix pomatia (Roman snail). RNAcentral's name for it is "partial 16S ribosomal RNA". Lineage: Eukaryota; Metazoa; Mollusca; Gastropoda; Stylommatophora; Helicidae. The record is from RNAcentral.